GGGUUGUUUUCUAACCUGUUUUUGUAAAUAUUAUGGAAGACUGAUAUUCUGAGAUGUAAUAUUAAAUAUAGUUUCCUUAGGUAGUUUCAUAAGUACAGGAUUUAUUCUUUUAUCUGUUGAGGAGUCACUGUCUGAGGUAGAAUGAACACUGCAGUUUUUUUGCUUGUUUUUCAAAACAUCUGUAAACCUUGCUGUAUUUUUUAUUAUUAGAAUUUGGAUCAGAAGAACGAGUGGCAAAAGAGAGAAGAAGUGCCAUUUACUCAGGUGGACUGCGCUCCAAUUUGAUGAAUCUAAUCUCCUGGCUUUAUACCAGAACAUCUGGG
Gallus gallus (chicken) is the source of this 323-nucleotide long non-coding RNA. NCBI's taxonomy places the organism in Eukaryota, Metazoa, Chordata, Aves, Galliformes, Phasianidae. The record is from Ensembl.